AAGCGAAACCGCGUCAGUAAUGGCGCGGUAUUCCACGGGUGGUGCUGUGGGACUGAUGAGCGAGCCAACC
This 70-nucleotide non-coding RNA is filed under the name Acidithiobacillus ferridurans. Lineage: Bacteria; Pseudomonadati; Pseudomonadota; Acidithiobacillia; Acidithiobacillales; Acidithiobacillaceae. The record is from RNAcentral.